RNAcentral lists this ribosomal RNA (320 nucleotides) under uncultured bacterium. RNAcentral's name for it is "bacterial LSU rRNA". It matches the Rfam family "Bacterial large subunit ribosomal RNA", at positions 115 to 480 of the family's 2925-position model. The record is from RNAcentral.
CGAAUGGGGCAACCCAACUCUUUUGAGUUAUUGCUAACUGAAUACAUAGGUUAGUAAAGCGAACCCAGCGAACUGAAACAUCUAAGUAGCUGGAGGAAAGGAUAUCAACCGAUACUCCGUAAGUAGUGGCGAGCGAAAGCGGAUCAGGCCAGUGGUUUUAAUUGUACAACCAAAAUUACCUGGAAAGGUAAACCGUAGAGAGUGAUAGUCUCGUAUGGGUAAUGACGAUUAAAAUCCUUGAGUAAGACGGGACACGUGAAAUCCUGUCCGAAUAUGGGGGGACCACCCUCCAAGCCUAAGUACUACUGGGACCGAAGACU